Molecule: ribosomal RNA, 260 nt
Filed under: uncultured bacterium
Lineage: Bacteria
Description: partial small subunit ribosomal RNA
Rfam family: Bacterial small subunit ribosomal RNA
Source: RNAcentral
AGAAUCAACGCUGGCGGCGUGCCUAACACAUGUAAGUCGAACGAGAAAGUGGAGCAAUCCAUGAGUAAAGUGGCGACCGGGUGAGUAACACGUGACUAACCUACCUUCAAGUGGGGGAUAACCUCGGGAAACCGGGGCUAAUACCGCAUAACAUCUUUGGAGUGGAAAUUCUGGAGAUCAAAGGAGCAAUUCGCUGGAAGAGGGGGUCGCGGCUGAUUAGCUAGUUGGCGGGUAAUGGCCCACCAAGGCUUUGAUCGGUA